AGAGUUUGAUCAUGGCUCAGGACGAACGCUGGCGGCGUGCUUAACACAUGCAAGUCGAGCGGUGAAGCCCCUUCGGGGGUGGAUCAGCGGCGAACGGGUGAGUAACACGUGGGCAACCUGCCCUCAGCACUGGGAUAACCCCGAGAAAUCGGGGCUAAUACCGGAUACGACCACCGACGGCAUCAUCGGUGGUGGAAAGUUCCGGCGGCUGAGGAUGGGCCCGCGGCCUAUCAGCUUGUUGGUGGGGUGACGGCCUACCAAGGCGACGACGGGUAGCCGGCCUGAGAGGGCGACCGGCCACACUGGGACUGAGACACGGCCCAGACUCCUACGGGAGGCAGCAGUGGGGAAUAUUGCGCAAUGGGCGAAAGCCUGACGCAGCGACGCCGCGUGAGGGACGAAGGCCUUCGGGUUGUAAACCUCUUUCAGCAGGGACGAAGCGAAAGUGACUGUACCUGCAGAAGAAGCACCGGCUAACUACGUGCCAGCAGCCGCGGUAAUACGUAGGGUGCGAGCGUUGUCCGGAAUUAUUGGGCGUAAAGAGCUCGUAGGCGGUCUGUCGCGUCGGAUGUGAAAACUCAGGGCUUAACCCUGGGCCUGCAGUGGAUACGGGCUGGCUGGAGGCAGGCAGGGGAGAACGGAAUUCCCGGUGUAGCGGUGAAAUGCGCAGAUAUCGGGAGGAACACCGGUGGCGAAGGCGGUUCUCUGGGCCUGUUCUGACGCUGAGGAGCGAAAGCGUGGGGAGCAAACAGGAUUAGAUACCCCCGUAGUCC
This 773-nucleotide ribosomal RNA is filed under the name uncultured bacterium. RNAcentral describes it as "bacterial SSU rRNA". It matches the Rfam family "Bacterial small subunit ribosomal RNA", at positions 8 to 796 of the family's 1533-position model. The record is from RNAcentral.